This 379-nucleotide ribosomal RNA is filed under the name uncultured eukaryote. RNAcentral describes it as "partial 18S ribosomal RNA". It matches the Rfam family "Eukaryotic small subunit ribosomal RNA", at positions 592 to 976 of the family's 1831-position model. The record is from RNAcentral.
CAAUAGCGUAUAUUUAAGUUGUUGCAGUUAAAAAGCUCGUAGUUGGAUUUCGGAUGGGAUUUGCCGGUCCGUCGUUACGAUGUGCACUGGCCAGUCCUAUCUUGUUGUCGGGGACUAGCUCCUUGGAUUCACUUCCUGGGACUAGGAGCUGACGAGGUUACUUUGAGUAAAUUAGAGUGUUCAAAGCAGGCCUACGCUCUGAAUACAUUAGCAUGGAAUAACACGAUAGGACUCUGGCCUAUCUUGUUGGUCUGUAGGACCGGAGUAAUGAUUAAGAGGGACAGUCGGGGGCAUUCGUAUUUCAUUGUCAGAGGUGAAAUUCUUGGAUUUACGGAAGACGAACUACUGCGAAAGCAUUUGCCAAGGAUGUUUUCAUUAA